RNAcentral lists this ribosomal RNA (468 nucleotides) under uncultured bacterium. RNAcentral's name for it is "partial 16S ribosomal RNA". It matches the Rfam family "Bacterial small subunit ribosomal RNA", at positions 28 to 507 of the family's 1533-position model. The record is from RNAcentral.
GACGAACGCUGGCGGCGUGCUUAACACAUGCAAGUCGAACGGAAAGGCCCUGCUUUUGUGGGGCGCUCGAGUGGCGAACGGGUGAGUAACACGUGAGUAACCUGCCCUUGACUUUGGGAUAACUUCAGGAAACUGGGGCUAAUCCCGGAUCGGAGCUCCUGCUGCAUGGUGGGGGUUGGAAAGUUUCGGCGGUUGGGGAUGGACUCGCGGCUUAUCAGCUUGUUGGUGGGGUAGUGGCUUACCAAGGCUUUGACGGGUAGCCGGCCUGAGAGGGUGACCGGCCACAUUGGGACUGAGAUACGGCCCAGACGCGUGCGGGAGGCAGCAGUGGGGAAUAGUGCACAAUGGGCGGAAGCCGGAUGCAGAAACGCCGCGUGCGGGAUGACGGCCUUCGGGUUGUAAACCGCUUUCGCCUGUGACGAAGCGUGAGUGACGGUAAUGGGUAAAGAAGCACCGGCUAACUACGUG